This is a small nucleolar RNA of Lactuca sativa (garden lettuce), 104 nucleotides long. NCBI's taxonomy places the organism in Eukaryota, Viridiplantae, Streptophyta, Magnoliopsida, Asterales, Asteraceae. The record is from RefSeq and is a predicted model, not a curated record.
AGUUCAUGUUGUGGAAAAUUUCUCCGCAACCCCUUGUACCUUUCCCAUGCCUCAUAUAAGGAUUCCCCCUCUUGUUCAAAGUUGGAUAUGUCCUUCUUCAGUUU